AUACAGAGGGUGCGAGCGUUAAUCGGAAUUACUGGGCGUAAAGCGCGCGUAGGCGGCUUAUUAAGUCAGAUGUGAAAUCCCCGGGCUCAACCUGGGAACUGCAUCUGAUACUGGUAAGCUAGAGUUUGGGAGAGGGAAGUAGAAUUUCAAGUGUAGCGGUGAAAUGCAUAGAGAUCUGAAGGAAUACCAGUGGCGAAGGCGACUUCCUGGCCUAAAACUGACGCUGAGGUGCGAAAGCGUGGGUAGCAAACGGGAUUAGAAACCCGUGUAGUCC
RNAcentral lists this ribosomal RNA (274 nucleotides) under uncultured bacterium. RNAcentral describes it as "partial 16S ribosomal RNA". It matches the Rfam family "Bacterial small subunit ribosomal RNA", at positions 523 to 796 of the family's 1533-position model. The record is from RNAcentral.